UACGUAGGGACCGAGCGUUGUCCGGAAUCAUUGGGCGUAAAGAGCUCGUAGGCGGUUUGUCGCGUCUGCUGUGAAAACCUAAGGCUCAACCUUGGGCUUGCAGUGGGUACGGGCAGACUAGAGUGCGGUAGGGGUGACUGGAAUUCCUGGUGUAGCGGUGGAAUGCGCAGAUAUCAGGAGGAACACCGAUGGCGAAGGCAGGUCACUGGGCCGCAACUGACG
Molecule: ribosomal RNA, 222 nt
Filed under: uncultured bacterium
Lineage: Bacteria
Description: partial 16S ribosomal RNA
Rfam family: Bacterial small subunit ribosomal RNA
Source: RNAcentral